UCCGACCGGGCCCCCCAUCCUCGCCACUGGAGCACGACGGUCGGCGGGAGCGGCAUGACGUCGGGUAUGUAUGAGAGAAGAGAGAGAUGAGCAGGAGAGAAAAAGGGAGGACAAGAGGAGGCCAGAGGAAGAGAGAUGGGAGCGGUGACCGCGUACGACCGCCCCGACCACACGGUCGCGGCUUGGCCACCGCGGCCUCCGCGCGGAGCUUCGCGACUACGACCAGCCGGAGGUGGAGGCCAUCAUGUGGUGGGCCGUCAGGUCGGGCUUCAGGGACAACGUCGUCCUGCUCCGCAAGGUCAUCGGCCCCUACCUCAGCGCUAACGGCAGGUGCGUCAACGUCGACCACAGAGCCAGCUUCCCCUCCAGUAUUGGAUCGUCGAGCGCUUCCCUGCCAGGGAAGAUGGCAUACCUGCCUUUCCUGCCCUGCAUCUGAAUCCCCAUACGUGUACCUCCCCUUCAUGUUCAUCUACCUGGAGCCGGGACGGCGGAUCCCGUUCGUUCAGGCGCUCGAGGAGGGGUACUACCCCGAGGACGAAAGCCGGCGCCUGUUAUGGUUCAGGGGGUCCGCGUUCUGCCUGAGAGACGACAUGGCGUUCCUCGGGUUCCCUUGAAUGCGUGCAGCUCUCUCGCUCUCUCAUGUCUGAUGCACGCACGCUGUGCUACUGCUAUCUGGUGACUUUCUACGCACACACUGCAACAGGUUCUUCUUUGGUGUAUCAGGCCAGGCGUAAUUUGUUUUCAAAGAUGCUCACAUACACACACAAACGACAUCCAGUAGGCGCUUGGAACACCCGAUAGAUUGAAAGCACAGAAGCAAAUAUUUCCAAUACGAGGCCACGAUGCCCGACAGAGAUGUAGCCAAUGUGCGCACAAUCCUUAUUUCUUGAUGUUGGAACAAGUAAGAGCAUAUUCAUGUUUACUUAUUAUGUUUUUUUGAGAAAUUUAUGGGAUUUACAAGCUGAAAUUAUUGACUGCUUCAAAAGAUGUUUUAACCAAAACUGUUUGCACCAUAUUUCCCUGGUUCUGCAUUCAUGGAAUUGCUAAAAAAAUGAACAAGUUGAUAGUUUUGUUCCUAUCAAUAUUCCGUCCAAGGUGCCAAUUUGUUUCUUCACUUUGCUGAUCUCCUAAUGUCUUUCUGAACUAAUUAGAUUUUUUGAGCAUUACUGAACUAAUUAGAUUUUUUUAGCACUACUGAACUAUUUAGAUGCCAUCUUAAAUUACCUUCCCUUUGACACUGUUGUACACAUUCCUGAAACACUGCACAAUGGUUCAGCUGUGUACAUG
Long non-coding RNA from Triticum aestivum (bread wheat), 1287 nucleotides. RefSeq lists it as uncharacterized. The transcript has 4 exons. The record is from RefSeq and is a predicted model, not a curated record. Lineage: Eukaryota; Viridiplantae; Streptophyta; Magnoliopsida; Poales; Poaceae.